This is a long non-coding RNA of Hippocampus comes (tiger tail seahorse), 230 nucleotides long. RefSeq lists it as uncharacterized. NCBI's taxonomy places the organism in Eukaryota, Metazoa, Chordata, Actinopteri, Syngnathiformes, Syngnathidae. The transcript has 2 exons. The record is from RefSeq and is a predicted model, not a curated record.
UGAUAUGAUGGCUUCCAAACAGAAGUAUGCACACUAAUAGUCCAAACGUGUGUUUGUGUUUGUGAGAGAGAGAAGAGAGAGAGAGAGAGAGAGACUACCAACUAAAAUGUGCUUGUGUACAUUUUGGCAAACGCCGUUUCGUCCUUCGUGUUUUCUGCGUUGUGUGAUAUGUCAAAGCAAAAAUCUUUGUGAUGCAGGGUGCCAGAUGGUGGUGAGGGGUAACAACCAUU